CUGGUUGAUCCUGCCAGAGGUUACUGCUAUCGAGGUUCGACUAAGCCAUGCGAGUCGAAUGUAGCAAUACAUGGCGUACUGCUCAGUAACACGUGGACAACCUACCCUUAGGAUGGGGAUAAACCCGGGAAACUGGGUAUAAUACCCAAUAGAUCUGGUCUGCUGGAAUGCUUCCAGAUUUAAAACUCCGGUGCCUAAGGAUGGGUCUGCGGCCUAUCAGGUUGUAGUGGGUGUAGUGUACCUACUAGCCUACGACGGGUACGGGUUGUGAGAGCAAGAGCCCGGAGAUGGAUUCUGAGACACGAAUCCAGGCCCUACGGGGUGCAGCAGGCGCGAAAACUUUACAAUGCCGGCAACGGCGAUAAGGGGACCUCGAGUGCCAGGUUACAAAUCUGGCUGUCGCGAUGCCUAAAAAGCAUUGCAUAGCAAGGGCCGGGCAAGACCGGUGCCAGCCGCCGCGGUAACACCGGCGGCUCGAAUGGUAACCGUUAUUAUUGGGUCUAAAGGGUCUGUAGCCGGCCGGGUAAGUCUCUUGGGAAAUCCAGCAGCUCAACUGUUGGGCUUUCAGGAGAUACUGCCUGGCUCGAGGCCGGGAGAGGUGAGAGGUACUUCAGGGGUAGGGGUGAAAUCUUGUAAUCCUUGAAGGACCACCAGUGGCGAAGGCGUCUCACCAGAACGGACCUGACGGCAAGGGACGAAAGCUAGGGGCACGAACCGGAUUAGAUACCCGGGUAGUCCUAGCCGUAAACGAUACUCGCUAGGUGUCGGCCACGGUGCGACCGUGGUCGGUGCCGUAGGGAAGCCGUGAAGCGAGCCACCUGGGAAGUACGGCCGCAAGGCUGAAACUUAAAGGAAUUGGCGGGGGAGCACCAC
Molecule: ribosomal RNA, 873 nt
Filed under: uncultured archaeon
Lineage: Archaea
Description: bacterial SSU rRNA
Rfam family: Archaeal small subunit ribosomal RNA
Source: RNAcentral